Molecule: ribosomal RNA, 773 nt
Filed under: uncultured bacterium
Lineage: Bacteria
Description: bacterial SSU rRNA
Rfam family: Bacterial small subunit ribosomal RNA
Source: RNAcentral
UCGCACGAGAAAGUGGAGCAUCCAUGAGUAAAGUGGCGUACGGGUGAGUAACACGUGGAUAAUCUACCUUUUAGUGGGGAAUACCUCCUGGAAACGGGAGACAAUACCGCAUAAGCUCGUAAGAGGAAAGCAGCAAUGCGCUGAAAGAGGAGUCCGCGGCUGAUUAGCUAGUUGGCGGGGUAACGGCCCACCAAGGCGAAGAUCGGUAGCCGGCCUGAGAGGGCACACGGCCACACUGGCACUGAAACACGGGCCAGACUCCUACGGGAGGCAGCAGUGGGGAAUCUUGCACAAUGGAGGAAACUCUGAUGCAGCGACGCCGCGUGAGCGAUGAAGCCCUUCGGGGUGUAAAGCUCUUUCGGCAGGAACGAUAAUGACGGUACCUGCAGAAGAAGCUGCGGCUAACUACGUGCCAGCAGCCGCGGUAAUACGUAGGCAGCAAGCGUUGUUCGGAAUUACUGGGCGUAAAGAGUGUGUAGGCGGUUCUCUAAGUUCCGUGUGAAAUCUCCCGGCUUAACUGGGAGGGUGCGCGGAAAACUGGAGGGCUGGAGUAUGGGAGAGGAAAGCGGAAUUCCUGGUGUAGCGGUGAAAUGCGUAGAUAUCAGGAGGAACACCUGCGGUGUAGACAGCUUUCUGGACCAUCACUGACGCUGAGACACGAAAGCGUGGGUAGCAAACAGGAUUAGAUACCCUGGUAGUCCACGCCCUAAACGAUGCAUACUUGGUGUGAGCCGUUCAUUCGGUUCGUGCCGGAAGUAACGCGUUAAGUAUGC